UGAGUUUAAGUCUCAACUAACUAUGCAAUUUUUCAGGUUCAUAGCAUCUUCUAGAGUGUGUUCGGAGCCCAUGAUCAGUUUUCCAAAUCUUAAAAUUGAAAGGGAAUGGCAGCAUUGGAGAUAAAAAGCAUUCAUUUAGGUUACUGCAGAAAAAGAGUUACUUCAUUUAGCAAAACUGGUGCUGUUUCAUUUUUGACUGUUCUUGGAUAAAAACAAUGGAAAGUAUAAAAAUUCAUAGAAAAGAUCUUGGGUAAUGCUCUUCGUUGGAAAUCCGAAUAAUUUGAUCCAUUUACUGUUUUACAUUUUUUAAGGAAACAAAGUAUACGCAUAACUAUAUAUAUGGCAAAAGGUGGAGGGCAGUAAAUAGAAGAAUGACCAAUCUCCCCGCUUUCCCCCAGAACACCACAUAGUCUGGAUUUUCUCUGCAGUGGUGCUCCACAGAGCUGGUUUAAAACUGGCUUUUGUUCAUUUCUCCCUGCCUGUUCCUGCCUUUAACUCCUUGACUGGCCUUAACAUUCCCUCUUGGCUAUAGAACUUUGCUACAUGAAAGUCAUACACUUAGAUGAAGUUAAAUUGUAUGUGAUGGGUGCUUGCUUUGUUGCAUGUCUUUCCCUUCCUUUUGAUCCCAUCCCUCAGUAUUUUCUAAAGGGCCUCUUACCUUAACCCAAACUGAUUUUAAUGGUAGAAAUUCCGGAUACCAUGACAGAUUGAUGGGGGGUGAAUUCCUGGGAAGAGUUUUGGGGAAUUUCUCAAAAACUCUUAAGUAGCGAAAUUUGUGCUGUGUGUCAGGUUACUUUUGGCUGUGGGGGAAUUAAAAAAAAAUACAAAAACAAAAAGCGCUGUCUUUCUUUGUAUUGCCAGCUUUUAUAGACUGUGAAGACAAAAUACACAUAGGGAAAUUCUGGAAGGAUAUCUAAGAUCAUAUAAUCAAGAAGCUGGUAGCUAAGCAAAAUAUUAAGUAAAUAAGGAUUCAAGCCACCAGUGUUACUAGCUGAAUGAGAUGGUAAUACUGCUUAAGAAGAAAAUAAAAAUAUGCUACAUCAGUAAUAAUCAUCAUGUUUGGAUUUUGAAACAAAGUAUUAAAUAAUGCCAUUUCUUUGUGGUGUGUCAAGAAGAGCUCAUUGUGAAUUUAUUUUACUUAGAUUUAUUACCACCAGUUCAGUUAUUCUGUGUAUAUUCUUUGUAUCUGGUUUUCCAUUUGAGUUCAGUAAAACCGCAUUAAUUCAAUCUUAUUAAACGUCAGUGUUUGGUGGCUAAAGUUUACAUCAGCACUGGAUAUGAAGAAAGGGGCCUGCUAAUCUAAUUAAUACUAUAAACAACAUGAUUUGGGCAUGGUUAAUAUACUUAACAAAACAUUCUUUUCAAGACAUACUGAAUAGCAUGUAAAUUAAUGCUAUUAAUUAUAAAUUAGAUUAAUCUAUUAGUAUUUUCUUUCAGGAUUUCUACUGUAAAGUCAAUAUAACAAAAAUGCAUGGUUUUCAAAACAUUUUGUAAACUUAAGGCUGAAAGCAACAAUUGAGACUGUGAUUCAGGGAAAUUCCAGUGAUUCUAAAGUGCCAUCAAUUAGAAAAUUAACAUUUAAAAAAUAAUAUUUUUUUUGGAAACUGGGGGAAAGAACCUCUACUUUAAAUGAGCCAUGUAUUUUAAGACAUCCAGUUAAAAUGUGAAAAAAGUAACACCUUAGAAUCUAGUUAGAGGUUUACUCCAACAUUUGUUUAUAUUAGUUUAAAAAUACGCCAUUUUAAGUCUAUUUCAUGUUUUAAGUCUAUUUGUUUCUAUAAGUAUGACCUGUUUUUAUUUGUAAUCUUAGAAAUAUGAAAUAUGACUUUGAUAUACCCUACGCUUAUAACUUUUAUAAUUGGCCUCUUAUACUUUUCCUUAUCUUUUCUGUGUCAGCCAUGUGUAAAGUUGGAACUAAUUAUGAAACCAAAUAAAGAAUCCAUUUAGAGUGACCUCAUUGGAAAACAGCAUUUUUCUAGACAUACCUUCCUCUUAGCAAAUCCAGUUAAAUUACUAUUUUGAAAGUUUUGUGAAAAUAUUGGACACUCCAGAACUGUAGAGAAUGAUGAUGAUUCAUGAUCUGGAACUUUGGUAAAUACUAAAAAAUCAUAUUGUUAACUUUUUUCCAGCAACUUUCUUGAUAUUCAAGAGAGAUAUAGUGAGAUUUUGAAUUCCAUCUUUCUAUAAUUGCCCUGUUAUAUUUUGUAAGUCACAGGCUAUUUUCCUCAAAUGUAAAAUUGUACUCACCCCUCACUUGUGGGAACUUGAACUCACCACUCAUAAGUGGAAUUUGAGAGCCCAUGCAGUCAUGCUUGCUCCCCUCGCCUGGGAAUGGCUGUUUGGUCACUGCUGACACAGAAUUACAAAUGACAGCGUCUUAAUAAUGUAUUUUCAGGGUCACUCAAGAAUAGUCAGAACAAUUAGUAUUGAAAUCUGUGAAUGCCUUGGGUCUACAACAGUAGCUUAUGGUGGCAUUUAUUUUAUAGUUGAAGAAAUGGAGACAGAAUAGAUAGAAUGGUCGGUCACAGGUGGGACUAGAAUGCAGCAAAAUAUGAUGGUCUGUCUGACUUUCUAUGAACUAUCUCCUGGAACUGGAAAUUCUGCGAAUGUCUGCAGAAAGCAAAACAAACAAGUAGAUACCAGAGAUUUAUGUUAACAGCUGCCUCCAGAUUAUGACAUGCCACCUUACAAUGUUUGUCAGUUUCAGAUUUGGACUUGAAGAGAAAAGGACCUGGCAAAUUCCAUGAAAAAACAAACAAACAAAACCAAGACCAGAAAAAAACCCUCUUCCUUUGUUUACAUCUCAAUUUAUCAUUUUCUGUAAUGCUUUUGUAAUUCAGAAAUGCAGCCUUCUUCAACAUAACCUCCUGCCCUCCUCCUGCCCUCCUCUGGCCCCCAAAAUGUCAUUGGAUUCUAUCCAGUGGGAAGAUAUAUGGGCUAUGAGAAGUUAAAAAAAUGUGGCACCAACUCUGCUGACUCCUUAUAUUUUCCUAAGUGGGCUUUAAGCCAUCCAUUGACAUGUGUUUUUAAACAUCCUGUAAGCUCUGCCAUUUUAUCAAAUUAAAUUAAAAGCACAAUAUAUUGUCUUACAAUGACAGAACCUGAGUCAGGACUUCCAAGUUUGUGUUGUUGUUGUUGUUGUUAUUUUGCUUUUUACAAAGGAAUUAAAUUUUUUUUUCAUUAUACCUGGCAUCGUUGGUCUGCUAUGCAUAUUUAAUGUUAAUAAAGUACAUGCGUACCUUC
This is a long non-coding RNA of Mirounga angustirostris (Northern elephant seal), 3243 nucleotides long. RefSeq lists it as uncharacterized. The record is from RefSeq and is a predicted model, not a curated record. The transcript is spliced from 3 exons. NCBI's taxonomy places the organism in Eukaryota, Metazoa, Chordata, Mammalia, Carnivora, Phocidae.